GACGGAGGGUGCAAGCGUUGUUCGGAAUUACUGGGCGUAAAGGGCGCGUAGGCGGUCUGUUAAGUUCGGUGUGAAAGCCCCCGGCUUACCCGGGGAACUGCGCCGGAAACCGACAGACUCGAGUACCGGAGAGGAGGGUGGAAUUCCUGGUGUAGCGGUGAAAUGCGUAGAUAUCAGGAGGAACACCGGUGGCGAAGGCGGCCCUCUGGACGGAUACUGACGCUGAGGCGCGAAAGCGUGGGGAUCAAACAGG
Molecule: ribosomal RNA, 253 nt
Filed under: uncultured bacterium
Lineage: Bacteria
Description: partial 16S ribosomal RNA
Rfam family: Bacterial small subunit ribosomal RNA
Source: RNAcentral